UACGAAGGGGCUAGCGUUGUUCGGAAUUACUGGGCGUAAAGCGCGCGCAGGCGGUCUUCCAAGUCAGUGGUGAAAGCCCGGAGCUCAACUCCGGAACUGCCAUUGAAACUGUUGGACUUGAGUACGAGAGAGGUGAGUGGAAUUCCCAGUGUAGAGGUGAAAUUCGUAGAUAUUGGGAAGAACACCGGUGGCGAAGGCGGCUCACUGGCUCGUAACUGACGCUCAGGCGCGACAGCGUGGGGAUCAAACAGG
This 252-nucleotide ribosomal RNA is filed under the name uncultured bacterium. Its description in RNAcentral is "partial 16S ribosomal RNA". It matches the Rfam family "Bacterial small subunit ribosomal RNA", at positions 524 to 776 of the family's 1533-position model. The record is from RNAcentral.